AUGAUUUUGCAGUAAUGAAUGAUAGGGAUGAUAAGAGGGUUUACAAAUAAUGGAUUGUUUGAAAAAGCUAUGGAGUUUUAUCGUAGAAUGGAAAUUCAAGGGUUUAGAGCUGAUAAUUUUACAUACUUGUUUGUGAUUAAAGCGUGCAGCAGUUACUGAUCUCUGGGCCUGAAUAUAUAUUCUGAGAUUCCUUGAAUUAUAUUCAGUAUAACAUAUACUGUAAAUUUUUUGUUGGAAUUUUUAACUUCACUUCCAUGCCGCAUGAUUUCUUAACAUAAAAUUAUAAGCAGGGGCUCAGUGUAAGCACAGCAGUAUUUGAUGGAGUGAAGCAUCUGAUUGCAUUUGGUGGCUACAACGGGAAAUAUAAUAAUGAGGAUACUCAUCUUCUACUGACUGGGGGACUGGAGAAAAUUUUUCAUAUUCUUGAUUUAAAUCGUCCAGAUGCACCCCCAAGAGAAGUGGAUAGAUCUCCUGGUUCAGUCAGAACUAUUGCAUGGCUCCAUAGUGAUCGAAUAAUGUUAAGCUCUUGCUCUGACAUGGGCGGUGUCAGGUAUGCCUGUUUCUCCUGCAUCAUAUGUUAUGGGAUGUUGGAAGUGGUAAGAUAGUCCAAACACUCGAGCCCAAGUCAUCUGUGACCAGUGCUGAAGUGAUUCAAGAUGGUCGUUAUAUCACAACUGCUGAUGGGUCAAUACUUAAGUUAUGGGAUGCAAACCAGUAAGUUUUAUGCCUUGGCCAAGUCUGAAUCUUGAACUCUAAUGAAAUGGGAACUAUCUUUCUGAGCAAGAUGUUACAGUUGAUAUUGAGACAAUCAAAGAAGAGAAAAGAGUUUCGGAAUUGUCUCUAGCAGAAGCCAGAGAAAAAUUCUAGGCUCAGAGAAAAGGUCGAUGAAGUUAACAGUACUCAUGGUGAAUUGUCCAAGGAACUCCAAUCUGUCCAAGGUCAACUGGUAACCGAGAGAUCAAGAAUCUUCAAAUUGGAGCCAAAGUGGAAUGAUGCACUUCUUGAGAUGUUUAGAAUCAAUUACAUCGGUACUUCUCCAUCGAUCACCUGUUUGCCUUCGCUCUAUCAUCAUCAAGUCAGCCCAAUGGACAAGUUCUUGAUAUUGUCUUCAGAUGGACUCUAUCAAUACUUCACCUACGAAGAAGCUGUAUCCGAAGUUGAGUUAUUCAUUGCUGCAUUUCCCAAAGGAGAUCCUGCACAACAUCUCAUAAAGCUGCUAUUGACUUCCAUGAGUUGCUUGAUAUCCCACAAGUAAGAAUGGUCUCAUUCUGAAUGAGCAAUAUCUGAUAUUUUGGCAGAAAGAUGUGGUUUGUUCUGAACCAUGAAAAGGUUAGAAAUGUGUUGAUGACACAAAAUAGUUAGACCAAAGUGCUAGAAAUGAUUAUAGUAGCAAUUUUUGCUAUGGUGGUUUUGGCUUCUUAUUAUGUUGCUGGUUACUGUGAAGUUUUAUAACAUGCAUCUGCAGCAAGUUCAUGUAACACUUACACCAAAACCUUCUCUGGGGUUGAUGGAGCUGGAAAGCGAUUAGCAAAUGGAGGUUAGCAUCUGAGAACAAACAGUUGUGGCAGCCUGAGAGUUGGCUAUAAAUGAAUUGAGCUGAUGGAGUCUAUGCUUCCUUCUUUCACUUACAUAUAUAUAUAUAUAUAAUUUCUUGAUGGGUAGUCGGUAUACAAGUUAUUGAAAUUCUGAUCUCUUGUUGAUGCUCACUUAGUUUGUUAAAUAUACAGUAACAACAACAUUUAUUCAAGUCUGUCGUAAUAAAUUUUGUAACCCAUUGGUUUAUAUGUAAUUUGCUUUCUCUGAUCAAUGAUAUUGCGCUAGAAUGGAUGCUGGAGCUGUUGUUUCUUACUCAA
Pistacia vera is the source of this 1853-nucleotide long non-coding RNA. RefSeq lists it as uncharacterized. The transcript is spliced from 7 exons. The record is from RefSeq and is a predicted model, not a curated record. Lineage: Eukaryota; Viridiplantae; Streptophyta; Magnoliopsida; Sapindales; Anacardiaceae.